Herpailurus yagouaroundi (jaguarundi) is the source of this 772-nucleotide long non-coding RNA. RefSeq lists it as uncharacterized. NCBI's taxonomy places the organism in Eukaryota, Metazoa, Chordata, Mammalia, Carnivora, Felidae. The record is from RefSeq and is a predicted model, not a curated record. The transcript is spliced from 4 exons.
CUGGUCCCGGGGCGAGAUGCCCACCAACUGCCCGCUCGGUGGUGGCUUCGGCGAGGCGGUCGAGCGGCCCAGGCCUCAGGAGGCCCGGCCACGUCUCCGGCGAGACCUCGCCUGGCCCCGCCGCCCUCGCCCGCCUUCCGCCCGCCCCAAGCUGGCCCCGAGGGAGCCGGCUCCCCGGGCCGACGGAAAAAUUGGAAAGCCUUCCCCGCCCGGGUGCAGUAAAGCACAGCAGAAAUUUGAUGGCAGUGUCCUGAUCUGAAGGAAAACUUCUGAUGGCUUUGGGGACAACAAGAAGCAGAGACAUGAUACCUGUGAACUCUUUGAGUGUUCUAUCUUCCUUGCCAUUUCUGAAGGCCAUGGGAUACUUUUCAAGGAAACUUCUGGAUGUGGUGCCAUAGAGAGACGUAUGUCCGCAUUUAAAAGAACAAAGUUACAUAUGGGAAUUAUGCUUCUGGAAAACCACCAGAAGAUUGUGCAUAUCAUGGAACAAAAGAAAUAAGGAAGAACGGCUAACAUGAGACUUGGACUGAGAUAACGUUUAUCGAAGACAAACAUCAGUGAUGCAUCUCAUUGUUCAAGGACUAGAUAUUUGCUAAAAACAAAACAAAGCAACAACAAAACCCCAUGGGAUUUAGGAAGCUGAGUCACUGAGGAAUAUUUACACUACUUUCCCUAAGAAUUUUAACACAAAUGCUAUUCUUUCACCCUUUCCAUCAAAUCUAUUCCUCCUUUGUCCUCUUCAUCACAGUAAAAUACUCCUAUUAUCCACCCA